AGUGAACGCUGGCGGUAGGCCUAACACAUGCAAGUCGAACGGCAGCACAGUAAGAGCUUGCUCUUACGGGUGGCGAGUGGCGGACGGGUGAGGAAUACAUCGGAAUCUACUUUUUCGUGGGGGAUAACGUAGGGACACUUACGCUAAUACCGCAUACGACCUACGGGUGAAAGCAGGGGAUCUUCGGACCUUGCGCGAUUGAAUGAGCCGAUGUCGGAUUAGCUAGUUGGCGGGGUAAAGGCCCACCAAGGCGACGAUCCGUAGCUGGUCUGAGAGGAUGAUCGGCCACACUGGAACUGAGACACGGUCCAGACUCCUACGGGAGGCAGCAGUGGGGAAUAUUGGACAAUGGGCGCAAGCCUGAUCCAGCCAUACCGCGUGGGUGAAGAAGGCCUUCGGGUUGUAAAGCCCUUUUGUUGGGAAAGAAAAGAAGCAGGUUAAUACCCCGCUGUUCUGACGGUACCCAAAGAAUAAGCACCGGCUAACUUCGUG
This 492-nucleotide ribosomal RNA is filed under the name uncultured bacterium. Its description in RNAcentral is "partial 16S ribosomal RNA". It matches the Rfam family "Bacterial small subunit ribosomal RNA", at positions 29 to 507 of the family's 1533-position model. The record is from RNAcentral.